RNAcentral lists this transfer RNA (71 nucleotides) under Ictidomys tridecemlineatus (thirteen-lined ground squirrel). Its description in RNAcentral is "Spermophilus tridecemlineatus (thirteen-lined ground squirrel) tRNA". It matches the Rfam family "tRNA". Rfam says of the family: Transfer RNA (tRNA) molecules are approximately 80 nucleotides in length. Lineage: Eukaryota; Metazoa; Chordata; Mammalia; Rodentia; Sciuridae. The record is from Rfam by way of RNAcentral.
GGGGGUAUAGUUUAGUGGUAGAGCACUUGCCUGGAAUGUGUGAGGACUUGGGUUCAAUCCUAGUACCCUCC